AAUUAAUGAACUUGAAUAAGUAUAUGUUUUGAAAACAUAAUAAAGAAGACUAAUCUUCUAUUAAUUU
This 67-nucleotide transfer RNA is filed under the name Parachauliodes continentalis. Its description in RNAcentral is "tRNA-Ser". The record is from RNAcentral. Lineage: Eukaryota; Metazoa; Arthropoda; Insecta; Megaloptera; Corydalidae.